GACGAACGCUGGCGGCGUGCUUAACACAUGCAAGUCGAACGGAAAGGCCUCUUUCGGGGGGUACUCGAGUGGCGAACGGGUGAGUAACACGUGAGUAACCUGCCCUUGACUUUGGGAUAACUUCAGGAAACUGGGGCUAAUACCGGAUAGGAGCUCCUGCUGCAUGGUGGGGGUUGGAAAGUUUCGGCGGUUGGGGAUGGACUCGCGGCUUAUCAGCUUGUUGGUGGGGUAGUGGCUUACCAAGGCUUUGACGGGUAGCCGGCCUGAGAGGGUGACCGGCCACAUUGGGACUGAGAUACGGCCCAGACUCCUACGGGAGGCAGCAGUGGGGAAUAUUGCACAAUGGGCGGAAGCCUGAUGCAGCAACGCCGCGUGCGGGAUGACGGCCUUCGGGUUGUAAACCGCUUUCGCCUGUGACGAAGCGUGAGUGACGGUAAUGGGUAAAGAAGCACCGGCUAACUAC
Molecule: ribosomal RNA, 463 nt
Filed under: uncultured bacterium
Lineage: Bacteria
Description: partial 16S ribosomal RNA
Rfam family: Bacterial small subunit ribosomal RNA
Source: RNAcentral